RNAcentral lists this ribosomal RNA (432 nucleotides) under uncultured bacterium. RNAcentral describes it as "partial 16S ribosomal RNA". It matches the Rfam family "Bacterial small subunit ribosomal RNA", at positions 29 to 506 of the family's 1533-position model. The record is from RNAcentral.
AGCGAACGCUGGCGGCAGGCCUAACACAUGCAAGUCGGACGAACUCUUCGGAGUUAGUGGCGGACGGGUGAGUAACACGUGGGAACGUGCCUUUUGGUUCGGAAUAACUCAGGGAAACUUGUGCUAAUACCGAAUGUGCCCUUCGGGGGAAAGAUUUAUCGCCAUUAGAGCGGCCCGCGUCUGAUUAGCUAGUUGGUGAGGUAACGGCUCACCAAGGCGACGAUCAGUAGCUGGUCUGAGAGGAUGACCAGCCACACUGGGACUGAGACACGGCCCAGACUCCUACGGGAGGCAGCAGUGGGGAAUCUUGCGCAAUGGGCGAAAGCCUGACGCAGCCAUGCCGCGUGAAUGAUGAAGGUCUUAGGAUUGUAAAAUUCUUUCACCGGGGACGAUAAUGACGGUACCCGGAGAAGAAGCCCCGGCUAACUUCGU